CGCAACGCAACGGGACGGGAAUGGCGACGGGAUCCGCGCAGGUCCCGGAAGCACUGCAGGAAGUGACGGUCAUUUCCACCCCCACCGCCCCCCAUCCCCCCCCGGGGCACCGCAGCCGCCCCCAUCCGCCCCCAACAGGGCCGCAGGAGCGCAGUGGGGAGCCGUGGGUGCCCGACAUGCUGAGCUCGGGGGACGAGGACCCCCCGCAGCCCCUGCUGUGGGUUUGGGUCCGGAGGAGGAGGAGGUGGAGGAGCUGCCCCAACACCGGGACGUCCUCCGGCUCCUCCUGCUCAGUUCCCAUCCUCUUCCCAUCCUUCCCAUCCCAUUCCCAUAGUCCCCAUCCCCUUCCCAUCCUUCCCACUCCCUUCCCAGCCCCUUCCCAUCCUUCCAUCCCUCAUUUCCAUCCCCUUCCCAUCCUUCCCAUCCCCUUCCCAUAGUUCCCAUCCCCUUCCCAUCCUUCCUAUCCCCUUCACAUGGCUCCCACCCCCCUUUCUACCCUUCCCACCCC
This 508-nucleotide long non-coding RNA is filed under the name Gallus gallus (chicken). RNAcentral's name for it is "lncRNA (ENSGALG00010003480.1)". Lineage: Eukaryota; Metazoa; Chordata; Aves; Galliformes; Phasianidae. The record is from RNAcentral.